Gallus gallus (chicken) is the source of this 106-nucleotide microRNA precursor. Lineage: Eukaryota; Metazoa; Chordata; Aves; Galliformes; Phasianidae. The record is from Ensembl.
GAUGCGCAGAGAGCUCUCCGGGCGGAAGGCUGCUCGGCCCGCGCUGCUCCUCGCGUCCUCCGCGCGGCGGCGGUCCGAGCAGCUCCCGCUCGGUCUCAGCCGUUGC